RNAcentral lists this ribosomal RNA (119 nucleotides) under Setaria viridis. The record is from RNAcentral. Lineage: Eukaryota; Viridiplantae; Streptophyta; Magnoliopsida; Poales; Poaceae. RNAcentral also lists the same sequence under 1 other name.
GGAUGCGAUCAUACCAGCACUAAAGCAUCGGAUCCCAUCAGAACUCCGAAGUUAAGCGUGCUUGGGCGAGAGUAGUACUAGGAUGGGUGACCUCCUUGGAAGUCCUCGUGUUGCAUUCC